RNAcentral lists this ribosomal RNA (586 nucleotides) under Meloidogyne incognita (southern root-knot nematode). Its description in RNAcentral is "LSU rRNA". It matches the Rfam family "Eukaryotic large subunit ribosomal RNA", at positions 448 to 908 of the family's 3401-position model. The record is from RNAcentral. Lineage: Eukaryota; Metazoa; Nematoda; Chromadorea; Rhabditida; Meloidogynidae.
UUUUUCUGUUGUGACCUCUGUGCUCCAUAUCGGGACAGAGUGUAUCAGCAUAAUUUUUUGUGGGGCAUAUUCUUGCUUGGUGCUUGGGGAUAUUUGAGGCAUAUUUGUGUCCGUCGUUUUUAGGCCAGCUUGCUGGUACCCAAACGGUGUUCGCAUUUUUUGUCUGGCACAUUUGAGUAGGGCUCAGGCGUAUUUAUGGGACAGAUGUGAGUGUAAGUCACGGUCGCAUGCGACACGUGCUUUUCAAUUAGUUGGGUCCAGUUAAUGCUUUGGUACUCGUUCCCCAUGUAAAAGCCGGUCAUUUAUCCGACCCGUCUUGAAACACGGACCAAGGAGUUUAUCGUGUGCGCAAGUUUUUGGGUGUUAAAAACUUAAAAGCGAAAUGAAAGUAAAUGACUCUUUAGAGUUUGAUGUGCGAUCUUGUAAAAAAGUGUAGCAUGGCCCCAUUCUAACUGUUUACAGUAGGGUGGAGGAAGAGCGUACGCGGUGAGACCCGAAAGAUGGUGAACUAUUCCUGAGCAGGACGAAGCCAGAGGAAACUCUGGUGGAAGUCCGAAGCGGCUCUGACGUGCAAAUCGAUCUUCUG